UACGGGGGGGGCAAGCGUUGUUCAGAAUUACUGGGCGUAAAGGGCUCGUAGGUGGCCAACUAAGUCGGACGUGAAAUCCCUCAGCUUAACUGGGGAACUGCGUCCGAUACUGGAUGGCUCGAGUUUGGGAGAGGGAUGCGGAAUUCCAGGUGUAGCGGUGAAAUGCGUAGAUAUCUGGAGGAACACCGGUGGCGAAGGCGGCAUCCUGGACCAACACUGACACUGAGGAGCGAAAGCCAGGGGAGCAAACGGG
RNAcentral lists this ribosomal RNA (253 nucleotides) under uncultured bacterium. RNAcentral describes it as "partial 16S ribosomal RNA". It matches the Rfam family "Bacterial small subunit ribosomal RNA", at positions 524 to 776 of the family's 1533-position model. The record is from RNAcentral.